Small nuclear RNA from Suricata suricatta (meerkat), 102 nucleotides. The record is from Ensembl. NCBI's taxonomy places the organism in Eukaryota, Metazoa, Chordata, Mammalia, Carnivora, Herpestidae.
GUGCUUGCUUGAGCAGCACAUAGACUAAACUUGGAGUGAUACAGAGAUUAGCACGCCCCUGAACAAGGACACACACAAAUUUGUGAAGCGUUCCGUAGUUUU